AGUCUCAUUUGAAGCAAAGUUUGACGUCGUCAACAGUUAUGUUAUGAGUUGUUAUCUUACAAACAGUGAUAACGUCAACUACUUACUGACCCGCACACUGCUGUCAACACCCACACGACAAAGAUGAAGUCCUUCUGCUUGAUCACUGUUUCAGUGUUGGUGUUCCACGUAGCUGCUGCGGACGUGCCAUGUAGCCUGGGUGGGGACUGUCCCAAGGAGAUGUGCUGCAAAGGGAACCCCGAGUUCCCAGGGGUACUGCGCACCCCUGAAGACUGAAGGAGAAGACUGCCAGAUGUAUUCCGGGGUACCUUCCUGGGGUCAGACUCCAUGGAUGGUGAGAGAGUGCAACUGUCUCGAUGGCCUCUAUUGUGGAUCCGACAACCCACAACCUCCCUUGGGGUCUAGAGGUACUUGCCGGCAUUGGAGCGGUCUUCCAUAGAGUUCGGAACAACAUCUCCGUCCUUAUUUGCAAGAAUAUAUACGACUGGAAUAAAGUAACUGUACAUUAUUUGAUGUAAUGCCAUUUUAAUGCAAAAAUAUAAUAUCAUGAUUU
Haliotis rubra (blacklip abalone) is the source of this 553-nucleotide long non-coding RNA. RefSeq lists it as uncharacterized. NCBI's taxonomy places the organism in Eukaryota, Metazoa, Mollusca, Gastropoda, Lepetellida, Haliotidae. The transcript is spliced from 4 exons. The record is from RefSeq and is a predicted model, not a curated record.